This 3491-nucleotide long non-coding RNA is filed under the name Malus domestica (apple). RNAcentral describes it as "long non-coding RNA (MDOM_LNC008926)". The record is from RNAcentral. Lineage: Eukaryota; Viridiplantae; Streptophyta; Magnoliopsida; Rosales; Rosaceae.
UCGGUUACCUCAAGUUGUUAUUUCUGUUAUUAAAUUUGUUGCUUUCUGUUAUUUUCUUGCAACUGAAACAUUUUUGUUAAAGAUUAUUAAAUUUGUUGCAAUUACACUUUUAAAUCUCAAAUACGCUGUGACGAUAUGCUUAAGGGCUUGAGAAGGAUAUAUGUGGAUAUAUAUUUACAAUGAGUUUGGUAUCGCAUCGUGGCUAACUGAUGUGGUUAAGUAGCUAUUGUGCGUAGGUUGACUCAUUCCAACUUCUAAAGGUACUUGCAUAUAUCCCUAUUAUUAUAGAUUUUAGAUUCAACUCCGAUGAAUGAUAAAUUGAUAUUUAAUUAUGUUAAGCACAUUGUACAAUUUAGUCUAAUUCUCAGUUUACAGUUGUGUAAAAAGGAUUAAAAUAAUCUAGGCAAAUGAUCCAUCAAAAUUCUAAUAAUUAAUCCGACCAAAAAAAUUAAGGUUGAAAAAAUAAACAAAAUAAAUACAACUCUAUCUACAUAGACUCUCUGUCACCUCAUAUUUUUUGGUAUAAUAUUUUAUAAUACGAACACAUAAAUUGACGUUAAACAAGUCUAUGGAGAGCCUCAUUUUGAUUUGGUGAAGAAGAGUGCAGUUUGCAGUAGCACGUGACGUCACAGGAACGUCCUCCGGGAACUCAGGAACAAGGCAAACAGACGAUCGCCGAAUCGUGUUCGAUUCGGGUUCGCAAGACUCAACUGCCUCUCAAACUUAUCAUCCGUCCGAUCAACAUACUUUUGUUGUUCCAACCUGUCGGAGAACUUAUUGAACUUUAGGAGAUACCGGUGUGGGGUCUUCCAAGCACCACUCUUUGGGCUUAUGGCAAUCGAGUCAAUGGGAGAUCAGGGAUUGUGGAUACAUUCCAUCAGAAUUAGUCAGCAAUUAGAAUAAAAACUGAAAAUGAAUUAUAUUCCACCAGUUUUAAACACAAAUAGUGGCACUAAUCACAUAUUUUGCAAGUAUAGCAGAAAUAUGAACACGAACUAACAAUUGAAACCUAUGGUAGAUACAAAUUGCCUAAACAAUUGAAACUUGUUUGAUCCCUAUAGUAUUUGUGAGUUGAAGAAGUGAAAUAAUCCAGGCCCGAGCUGUGUCAUCGACAUUCAGUCAGGAAGGCCUCGAUAGGAGAGUGGGUUGUAGGUCAAUGCUGACUGUGAUAAGUCAGUAAGAAAUUUAGGAAAGGCCUACUGUUUGAUGCUGGUUGAUGGCUUUUCAGUCAGGCUAAAGUUCGAUGGGCCAGUUGAUUGGUGGCCGAACAGUGAGAAAAUGUUUAGAGGAAUAAAACCAACUGUUACAUUGAAGGAGGCUUAGGGUUACUGUGGCCACCCCUUCCUGUAUGGGAAAUAAAUAGAUGGGUUACUGUACCCCCUCUCUUGCUCUGUGUUUGUUGCUUUCUGUGUUGUUCCCCCUUGGGUGGGCUUCGUGUUCAUUUGGCUUCGGUCCUGGUUAUUUUAUUUCUAGUUCUCCAAAAAAAUAAAAAAUAAAAAUAAAUAAAUAGAUGGGAUGAGUGUACCACAGCAACAUGUAUACGGAGUGUACCACAGCAACAUGUAUAUGGUGUGUGCUUCCAUUCCAAUCAACUGUUUCCAUAUAUCAAUUUCUUCUUGGAAUUUUUUUUUAACUUAUGCACAGCCAGGCACCUCCUUCCUUUCAUCCUUUAAAAUCUUGCACAAAAGAUUUAUUCGAUACAAAUGUCCCUGGUAUAACUUAUUUGUGGCUUCUUUCUCUUUGUUUCUUUUCCGGUUUGUUAUAGGGGUUCUUCUUGCUGCAGAAUUUCAAUUUGGGUUCUUGUUACUGUGCAAAUGCUGCCUGUGGUAUCUAUUAAUUUUGUUGCUGCUCACAACACCAUUAGAAUAGCUCCAUAAGCUGCUUCUUAAGCUUCCGUCUUAUACCUAUUUAAUUCUAUUUUUGGACCAACAAGUAUAAAUUGCCUUCAGUUGCUCCAAUCCUUUAGUCCUUCCCAGAUCGUUAAAAGUUUUCUUUAAACUUUCACCUAACAAGAAAUGGUCAUUUCCUUCAAUUACCAUUUACCAAUCAAGUUCUGUUCUUAACUAGGUAUGCAACUUUGCCUUAUUUCAAAUAUCCACUGGGACCACCGCUCGUCUGGGAUCCUUUGGCGAGAUCCUCCUUGGCUUUCUCAACUGCUUCCUGGCUUUCACCGAGUGCAGAUCAGAGAGAGACUGAAAUCUGCGUGCACCACCACGCAUCACCAUCUUCGCAGCUGCCAUUGUCAAGGUUAGAAAGAGAGGGGGCAGAGAGCAGAGAGAAAGCCAAGGAGGAUCUCGCCAAAGGAUCCCAGGAAGUAGUUAAGAAAGCCAAGGAGGAUCUUGCCAGAAACAUUGAGCGCCUCAAGCUCUGGACUCACGCCUUUGUACAGACCAAGAAAGACCUACAACUAGCCAUCGAUCUUGGCGAGGAGCACCACUGGAACGCUUCUUUCAGCGCCAGCUGCAGUAACCCUCAACGCAAGGUUAUGCGGAAACUUGCAGACACGUCCAAGGUCGAUCUGAAAUCCCAAAGAAUGACCGACAUUGUGGAGAUGAGCAAUAAGCCAUCCACUGUGCAGCAAUAGGGCAAGAAGGGAACAACGAAAAGGGAAAAGGGCAAAUAGACAGAGGAACGAAGCCACAUGAAUAAGAAGGGCAAAAUGGCAAGAGUGAAAGUGUAAGGGCAAAUUGGGGAAGUCGAGGGUUCUUUAUUUGCCCUUUCCCCUUUUCACUGUUCCGUUCUUGCCCUGUUGCUGCACAGUGGAUGCCUUAUUACUCAUCUCCACGAUAUCGGUCAUUCUUUGGAAUUUCAGAUUGACCUUGGAUGCGUCUGCACGUUCCCGCAUAACCUUGCGUUGAAGGUUACUGCAGCUGGCGCUGAAAGAAACGUUCCAGUGGUGCUCCUUGCCAAGAUCGAUGGUUUUCUUGAGAGAGAAUUUUCGACUGAAUAUUUGGACUAGAUGGCCUCGACUUAUAUAGUCGUGUGUUCCGAAGGGGAUUGGAGGGAAAGAAAGAGUUGGUUACCUCAGGUUGUUAUUUCUGUUAUUAAAUUUGUUACUUUAUGUUAUUUUCUUGCAACUGAAACAUUUUUGUUAAAGAUUAUUAAAUUUGUUGCAAUUACACUUUUAAAUCCCAAAUAGGCUAUGACAAUAUGCUUAAGGGCUUGAGAAGGAUAUAUGUGGAUAUAUAUUUACAAUGAGUUUGGUAUCGCAUCGUGGCUAACUAAUGUGGUAGGUUGACUCAUUCCAACUUCUAAAGGUACUUGCAUAUAUCCCUAUUAUUAUAGAUUUUAGGUUCGACUCCGAUGAAUAAUAAAUUUGAUAUUUAAUUAUGUUAGGCACAUUGUACGGUUUAGUCUAAUUCUCAGUUAACGAUUGUGUAAAAAGGAUUAAAAUAAUCUAGGCAAAUGAUCCAUCAAAAUUCUAAGAAUUAAUCCAACAAAAAAAAUUAAGGUUGAAAAAAUAAACAAAAUAAAUACAACUCUAUCUACAU